ACAAGCGGAGGAGCAUGUGGUUUAAUUCGAUGAUACGCGAGGAACCUUACCUGGGCUCGAACGUAAGAUGACUGUAGGUGAAAGCUUACAUCUCUUCGGAGCAUUUUACGAGGUGCUGCAUGGUUGUCGUCAGCUCGUGCCGUGAGGUGUCGGGUUAAGUCCCAUAACGAGCGCAACCCCUACCUUUAGUUGCCAUCAGGUUAAGCUGGGGACUCUAAAGGAACUGCCCACGCAAGUAGUGAGGAAGCGGGGAUGACGUCAAAUCAGCACGGCCCUUACGUCCAGGGCUACACACGUGCUACAAUGGCCGAUACAGAGGGCAGCUACCUGGUGACAGGAUGCAAAUCUCCAAAGUCGGUCUCAGUUCGGAUCGGAGUCUGCAACCCGACUCCGUGAAGUUGGAUUCGCUAGUAAUCGCGCAUCAGCCAUGGCGCGGUGAAUACGUUCCCGGGCCUU
This 456-nucleotide ribosomal RNA is filed under the name uncultured Sphingobacteriales bacterium. RNAcentral describes it as "bacterial SSU rRNA". It matches the Rfam family "Bacterial small subunit ribosomal RNA", at positions 925 to 1382 of the family's 1533-position model. The record is from RNAcentral. Lineage: Bacteria; Pseudomonadati; Bacteroidota; Sphingobacteriia; Sphingobacteriales.